Pantherophis guttatus is the source of this 1135-nucleotide long non-coding RNA. RefSeq lists it as uncharacterized. Lineage: Eukaryota; Metazoa; Chordata; Lepidosauria; Squamata; Colubridae. The record is from RefSeq and is a predicted model, not a curated record.
AUCCACUCAAGCUUUUAUACCCUCCAAGGCUCCGCCCACAAAUACUUCAAAGGAAAAGAUACCAACUGAAGAAACUGUAUCCAGGAUAGGAUACCACUCCUGGGGUAACUGAUCUCUCUUGCACUGUCAUUCUCCUUCAUUCUCUCUAUCAUUCCUUUCUUAAUGGAGAGUGUAACUGAUAUGCUUGCAUAAUGUUAAGGGACUCAUGUACGAGAAGGAAACAUCAAAAAUCAUUCAACUAUAGGAGUACUUUCAGGGAAGCACAGCUUUUCAGAGAGCCUGGUUACAUGGGAAAGCACAGCCAGAAGGGAUCAAAAUUGGCAGCUGGGAAUUGUUUGCUGGAGUGCUUUUUAGACAUCGUAGCAGAAAAGCCAUAAGGAAAAAGGAACAGUUGGAACAGCUUGACAGAAGUAUAUUGGAUUGUGUGCCAUCAGAAAAUAAUCACACAACAUCGCAUGGAGCCUAAACUGAACAUAGUUUUCUUCAGUCCAAGAAAGAAACAAUCUCUCUCUUCUUUUUAUAACUUUCCUUCAUAUAACCAUUCAUGUACAAUAGUUGAAAAAUGUGGGGUUUUUUUCUAAAAUGCUACAGUGUGGGCCUGGAAACCUAUUUCAUUUUUUUUUUUAAAAGAAGAAGUAAAAUAUUAACCUGAAUGAGGAAAAGUCUUUAGUUGCCUUUUCGCUGAAAUCAACCAAAUGCCUUAAUUCAAAUGCUGACAGAUCACACGUGUCAGCAAUUCAUUUCUGCAAAUCAGGUGUAGAGUUGUCUUUCCAAUGUUGUAUAUAAUCUUUUUGGCUGUCCUCCCUGAACAAAAAAAAAAAAAAAAGCAAAACUUUGAUGUCUUGAUAGAUUCCAAAUGUUGGGGAUAUAACCAAGAGCAUAUGUAUCCUUAAUCAGCAUUAAUUGACCUAACUCAUGUUAAGAAUCUUGUGGGUUUCAGCCCAAAAUAUGACAAUAGCAAGAUGAGUCCAAAUUCAUGUGAAUAAAAUGUUCCAACUUCUGAAUUACACCUCUAAUAGCAGGCAAUUGCAUCCACCCUUUAUUAAACACUCUAUCAGGUGUUGUAUACACAUGACAGAUAUUUUUUGUUGUCUAAUCCACAUUUUAAAGGUCAAAAUAAAUUUUUCCAAGGGUC